GGUGUUGGUAGUACAAGGAAAGAAGUACGGCAUCAGGCUGCAGAAAUAUCUUUAAGAAAUUUGGCAAGUAAGUUUGUUUUAUUGCAUAUUUGUACUAAUCUCUCCAGUUUCGUUUUCGCAGAUAUAAGAUAAUAUGUUAUGUAAUCAAGAGAUUCAUUUUAAAUUUGGAUUGUUCACAUGUUUACUCAAAGCAUAUAUGCUCUACUGUGUGGAGUUGAUUUUUCCCUUUUUAGCACCAUCUAUCUUGGAAUUAGAUAGGAUACUGUGAGAAUAUAAUGAUGACUAUUUCUUGAUGGGUACUUGCUGCAUGAUUUUUCCACUGCAUGUCCAAGUUUACAUGUGAAAGGAUCUUGCUGGAUUCCACUCUACUGGUUCAUCUGAAUUACUGAAUACAGAUGCAGCUCUCCUAUAUCUUCACUAAUUUCCUCUGUAGGUUCCUGUUUAGGGAGAAAAGAAAAUCCUGUUAUCCUCGUCCAGAGAUAGACCAUUUGGCACCAAUGAAUCAGCUGUUGAGUACAAAUAAUGUGGGAAGUUCUUCUUUGGCAAUCACGAUGUGUUCGUACAUAUGUUUGAAAGGAUCAUGUUGAUAGUGUUGCUACUUGCUACCAAUGCUUUUGUUGAGGAGGCUGCAGAUCUGUUGUGUUUGCUGCUGGGUCCUGGUUGCCCUGGAGUGUUAAAUUCAGAACGUAAGUGAAUGAUCACUGUACCGCAGCCACCCGGCUUGGCACAAGAUAGGAAAAGUGGUUUGGUGUACAAGGAGACUACAACUUUUUUGUUAAGGACUGCUGGGGCCAAGUCUGGUGGAUCUGUUUAAUUUUUGCAGCAGGGCAGUUCCGUGCUCCUUUUAUUGCCCAAAUGCAGUACAUAGGGCAGGAGGGGCAGGGCGGAGGUUCGACCUCCUGCACCUUCCAUCCCAGGCCUAUCUUUGUCAUUCUCGGCGGCCGGCCGAGCUCUGCGCUCCGGAACAACCAAAACAUGCUUGAGAUCUCAGUAAAAAAGGAUUUUUUUACUGUGUUUACUCUAAAAAUUGUUCUGGCC
Molecule: long non-coding RNA, 1038 nt
Organism: Triticum aestivum (bread wheat)
Lineage: Eukaryota; Viridiplantae; Streptophyta; Magnoliopsida; Poales; Poaceae
Exons: 4
Source: RefSeq, a predicted model, not a curated record